AGCUCCAGUAGCGUAUAUUAAAGUUGUUGCAGUUAAAAGCUCGUAGUCAGAUUUUAGAUGAUGUGAAUUGGUCUGGCUUUGUUGUCAGUAUUGAUUCGUGUUAUCUCUCUUUCUGGGGAAGCUGUUUGCUCUUUAUUGAGUGGGGCAGGUGUAAGUCCCAGGACUUUUUACUUUGAAAAAAUUAGAGUGUUUAAAGCAAGCAAUCGCUUGAAUACAUUAGCAUGGAAUAAUAGAAUAGGACUUUGGUUCUAUUUUGUUGGUUUCUAGGACCGAAGUAAUGAUUAAUAGGGAUAGUUGGGGGCAUUAGAAUCGACAUGUCAGAGGUGAAAUUCUUGAAUUUUGUCGCGUCUAACUUCUGCGAAAGCAUUUGCCAAGGAUGUUUUCA
This 385-nucleotide ribosomal RNA is filed under the name uncultured fungus. RNAcentral describes it as "SSU rRNA". It matches the Rfam family "Eukaryotic small subunit ribosomal RNA", at positions 587 to 972 of the family's 1831-position model. Lineage: Eukaryota; Fungi. The record is from RNAcentral.